This 468-nucleotide ribosomal RNA is filed under the name uncultured bacterium. RNAcentral's name for it is "partial 16S ribosomal RNA". It matches the Rfam family "Bacterial small subunit ribosomal RNA", at positions 28 to 507 of the family's 1533-position model. The record is from RNAcentral.
GACGAACGCUGGCGGCGUGCUUAACACAUGCAAGUCGAACGGAAAGGCCCUGCUUUCGUGGGGUUCUCGAGUGGCGAACGGGUGAGUAACACGUGUGUAACCUGCCCUUGUCUUUGGUAUAACUUCAGGAAACUGGGGCUAAUAUCGUAUAGGAGCUCCUGCUGCAUGGUGGGGGUUGGAAAUUUUCGGCUGUUGGGGAUGGACGCGCGGCUUAUCAGCUUGUUGGUGGGGUAGGGGCUUACCAAGGCUUUGACGGGUAGCCGGCCUGAGAGGGUGACCGGCGACAUUGGUACUGAGAGACGGACCAGACUCCUACGGGAGGCAGCAGUGGGGAAUAUUGCACAAUGGGCGGAAGCGUGAUGCAGCAACGCCGCGUGCGGGAUGACGGCCUGUGGGUUGUAAACAGCUUUCGCCUGUGACGAAGCGUGAGUGACGGUAAUGGGUAAAGAAGCACCGGCUAACUACGUG